Small nuclear RNA from Mustela erminea (ermine), 105 nucleotides. NCBI's taxonomy places the organism in Eukaryota, Metazoa, Chordata, Mammalia, Carnivora, Mustelidae. The record is from RefSeq and is a predicted model, not a curated record.
GUACUCGCUUCAGCAGCACAUAUGCUAAAAUUGGAAUGAUACAGAGAUUAGCAUGGCCCCUGCACAAGGAUGCUAAUGGAGCUUCAUGAAGCAUUCCAUAUUUUU